UAUUAAGUGGCCGAAAACAAGCACUAAACUUUUAAUUUAGAAAAUGAUUUUUAUUAAUCCUUAAU
RNAcentral lists this transfer RNA (65 nucleotides) under Hapalochlaena fasciata. Its description in RNAcentral is "tRNA-Lys". Lineage: Eukaryota; Metazoa; Mollusca; Cephalopoda; Octopoda; Octopodidae. The record is from RNAcentral.